RNAcentral lists this ribosomal RNA (588 nucleotides) under uncultured bacterium. RNAcentral describes it as "partial 16S ribosomal RNA". It matches the Rfam family "Bacterial small subunit ribosomal RNA", at positions 355 to 1375 of the family's 1533-position model. The record is from RNAcentral.
UGGGGAAUUUUGGACAAUGGGCGAAAGCCUGAUCCAGCAAUGCCGCGUGUGUGAAGAAGGCCUUCGGGUUGUAAAGCACUUUUGUCCGGAAAGAAAUCCUUGGCUCUAAUACAGUCGGGGGAUGACGGUACCGGAAGAAUAAGCACCGGCUAACUACGUGCCAGCAGCCGCGGUAAUACGUAGGGUGCAAGCGUUAAUCGGAAUUACUGGGCGUAAAGCGUGCGCAGGCGGUUUGCUAAGACCGAUGUGAAAAUCCCCGGGCUCAACCUGGGAACUGCAUUGGUGACUGGCAGGCUAGAGUAUGGCAGAGGGGGGUAGAAUUCCACGUGUAGCAGUGAAAAUGCGUAGAGAUGUGGAGGAAUACCGAUGGCGAAGGCAGCCCCCUGGGCAAUACUGACGCUCAUGCACGAAAGCGUGGGGAGCAAAACAGGAUUAGAUACCCUGGUAGUCCACGCCCUAAAACGAUGUCAACUAGUUGUUGGGGAUUCAUUUCCUUAGUAACGUAGCUAACGCGUGAAGUUGACCGCCUGGGGAGUACGGUCGCAAGAUUAAAACUUAAAUGAAUUGACGGGGUCAUAGCUGUUUCCU